UAUCUCUGUAGAGUCUGCAUAUCAAUAAGCGGAGGAAAAGAAACUAACUAGGAUUCCCUCAGUAACGGCGAGUGAAGCGGGAAGAGCUCAAAUUUGAAAUCUUCAAGGUUCUACCUUGACGAAUUGUAGUUUAAAGAAGUGUUUUCUGUUGGAGUUUUGGUAAAAGUUCUUUGGAAUAGGACAUCAUAGAGGGUGAGAAUCCCGUAUUUGACCAUUAUUUCCAACUUUGUGAUACACUUUCAAAGAGUCGGAUUGUUUGGGAAUGCAGUCCAAAAUGGGUGGUAAAUUUCAUCUAAAGCUAAAUAUUGGCGAGAGACCGAUAGCGAACAAGUACCGUGAGGGAAAGAUGAAAAGAACUUUGAAAAGAGAGUUAAACAGUACGUGAAAUUGUCAAAAGGGAAGCGUUUGACACCAGUGUUGUUUUCUCGAAAAUCAAUUAAAAAUGGCUGGAUUUUGUGUUGUAUUGACCUUAUAAGCUUUCUGCACUUUUUUCUAUGUCUUUUUUAAUGCACUUUUCGUUUAACAAGUCAACAUCGAUUUCUUUUGUUGUAAAAGAGUCAUUGGAAGGUGGCUUUCUUUUCGGAGAAAGUGUUUAUAGUCCUUUGACUUCCUGCAGUCGGAGAGACUGAGGUCUGCAGCGUAGAUCCUUCUGGGAUUAGAUUACAUUUGUGCUAAGUUAUAGCUUUUCAUAGACAACUUGUUGACUAUGAUUAGUCAUUGUAGCUUACUCGCUUAUGUAUUUUACCUACGCUUAGGAUGUUGAUCUCUCACAGUCGAGC
RNAcentral lists this ribosomal RNA (779 nucleotides) under uncultured Neocallimastigales. RNAcentral's name for it is "partial large subunit ribosomal RNA". It matches the Rfam family "Eukaryotic large subunit ribosomal RNA", at positions 24 to 645 of the family's 3401-position model. The record is from RNAcentral. Lineage: Eukaryota; Fungi; Neocallimastigomycota; Neocallimastigomycetes; Neocallimastigales.